CAAUAGCGUAUAUUAACGUUGUUGCAGUUAAAAAGCUCGUAGUUGGAUUUCUGGAGGGAGCGUCGGCCCGUAUUUACGAGUGCGUGACGUCUCUGUCCAUCCUUGCGGGAAGGCACGGCAUUGAUUUGUUGUGUCGGAUCGCAUCAUUUACUGUGAAAAAAUUAGAGUGUUCAAAGCAGGCUUUCGCUUGAAUACAUUAGCAUGGAAUAAUAAGAUAGGACUUUGGUGCUAUUUUGUUGGUUGAGCCUAAAGUAAUGAUUAAUAGGGAUAGUUGGGGGCACCUGUAUUGCGUUGUCAGAGGUGAAAUUCUUGGAUUUACGCAAGACAAACAGCUGCGAAAGCGUCUGCCAAGGAUGUUUUCAUUCA
Molecule: ribosomal RNA, 366 nt
Filed under: uncultured eukaryote
Lineage: Eukaryota
Description: partial 18S ribosomal RNA
Rfam family: Eukaryotic small subunit ribosomal RNA
Source: RNAcentral